GUAUGUCCUUAACCUUGGCACAACAAAUCUCUAAAUCGAUUGAGACCUGUCUCAGAUACUUUUUGGUUUAUAAGAUGGGGGCUGAAAUUAAAGAGAAAGCUCCUCACUCAGCUCACAAAGGAGCAGAAUGGGAAGAGGACUUAGUGAGAAUUCCCUGAACACAGGAGAAAACCGAAGCCCAGAGAGUGGAUGGCCAAGUCCAAGGCCACAUAGCCAAGUGCAUCUGAGCAGCGCAGGAUCCAGGUUUCCUGCCCCAGUGCUGUUUCUGCAGCCCGUGCCACCUGUUUUCAUACUAUCUCGGUUCACCAUCCAGCUACACACCUGCAAUCAGAAACAGAAAGUCUGAGAGUGUGUGUGGAGCCAAAGAGGGGACAGCAGUGGUGCGGCCAGUUUCAUGUCUUGUGAUUUAUUUUCUCCCUUUCUUUUUGGACUUUAAUCUUAAGUGGACAGCAGUUUGGAACAGUGCCAGCACCUUGUUGGAUUGUGCUGUUUGGGAGAGGUGACACAGAGUAUUUUAAAAGAGCAGGUUAAGAACUUUUCAUAAAGAAUCAAUUGAGAAAAAAUAAAAUAGAAACAGAAUGUCCCACAUUUGGGCUGAGCACCAAACAAAUUUUUUUUUUUUUUUUUUGAGACUGAGUCUUGCUGUGUCACUCAGGCUGGAAUGCAGUGGUGCGAUCUCGGCUCACUGCAGCCUUCGCCUCCCAGGUUCAAGUGAUUCUUCUGCCUCAGCCUCCCAAGUAGCUGGGAUUACAGGUGCCCACCACCACGCCAGGCUAAUUUUUGUAUUUUUAGUAGAGACGGGGUUUCACCAUGUUGACCAGGCUGGUCUUGAACUCCUGACCAAGUGAUCCACCUGCUUCGGCCACCCAAAGUGCUGGGAUUAUAGGCAUGAGCCACCGCACCUGGCCUCAAACAAGCUUUUUAAUUGCAUUCAGAAGUGCACCAACUAGGCACAGACCUCUGGCAUGGAAACAGAAUGGGAGGUUCUUGGUGUCUGGCCUGGUCUUGCAGAAAUCAGGGAGUUGCCGGGACCAGGCAGCCACUGUGCAUCAGAUAGGAGUUUCAGCAGCAGGCAACAGAAAGCCUGCCAAUGUAGCUGAAAUAAGAAGGGCUUAUUUUUAUCCCUGAACAGAAGCUUCCAGCACUGGUUCAUCAGGUCAGGGCACUGAGCUGGCAUCCCCAUUUAUACAGUUUUCCUUUCCUUCACCUUUGUAAGAUGCCUGGCACAGCUCUGAGCAUCAAAUAUCUGUGCCAUGUGGGAGCACACGAGGGGACAAGUGGGGAAUAGGGUCUCCUCCGUCCUCUGUCCCCAGGCUGGCUUCUCUCAUGGUAGAAGGACCCCCACAGCACCAGGCCUCAUAACUACCCUGCUGGUAAACUGCAGGUGCUGUCAAGGCUUCCUGCCUUCGUAUAUGAAAUGUUCCUUGACAGCUGGACUGCUGUUUACCGCACGCACCGCUCUGCUGCCUCUUGGUUGCACCAGUGAGCUAUUGCUCCAUGACAAACCACACCGAAAUGUAGCAAGUACUUAUUGUUGCCCACAUGUCUCAAGUCAGUUGAGUGUUUCUGCCAAUCGGGGCCUGGCUUGGCCCACCUUGGCUGAGCUUGCUCUGGUGCUAGGGUCAGCUAGACAGGUUGGCAGGAGACCAGCUGCUCUAGAAGAGCCUGGACAGGAUGAAUUGGUUCUCCUUCCACGUGCAUCUUGCAUCCCUCCAGCUAAGUAUUUGAACCCAGGUCUCAUCUGACUCCAAACGCACCAAGAAGAUGGAGCCUAGAGUGACACAGAGGAAGAGGCCCCUGGAUGGAUGCAUGGGGAAGGUUAGAAGCAAGGCACAAGUCAUACCUACAUUCAAGGAGAGGAGACCAUGCAAAGGAUAAACUUCAGAGAGACAACAGAUUUACAUCCCAGACACAUUCACACUGGGCAAAGAGCAGCUGCCAUUGCAGAUUUGAGUCACGUCCUUUUUUCCCUCCUUCUCCUUCUUGGAGUUACAGCAGAAGCUGGGGAGGUGAGAGUGCAGAAAGGACAUGGAUGAAGCAGAGAGGCAUGUGCCUGUCUCAUUCGCCUCUGGAUCUGCUGCAUCCAGGACCAUGUCAGCACAAAGUGGGAGCCCGAUAAAUAUUUAUUGAAGAAAUGAAAGGUGACAAAAGGCAGAAGGAGGGAGACCCCCAAAAGAGGAGAGACAAAGUUUAAUCAUGUGAGCCAGGCUGGUUUUGAAGUCCUGACCUCAAGUGAUCUGCCCACCUUGGCCUCCCAAAGUGCUGGGAUUACAGUAUGAACCCAGCAUCACGGUGCACUUGUGGCAGUUGGCAGUGCACACCCGGGAGCCACUCUCCUCUGGCCAGAUGCCCUUCUCCCAGCUGCCCGCCGUGUGGCAGCUCUACCCUGGGAAGAAGUACCGAGCAGCGGAUUCCAGUUUCUGGGAAAUAGCAGACCAUGGCCAGAUCGACUCCAUGGAGCAGCUGGUCCUAACAUAUCAGCCAGAGAGGAAAGACUGACAUUGGGAGUGGCUGGCCCUGCUGGCCCUGCCUCUUCUGGCCUGGUGUCUCCUCAUGCCCCCUCAGUGAGGAUCUUCAUGUACCUGCUCUUCUGUUUGCACACCCAGCAUAGCCUCCUUGCGGGCAGAAGGCAGUGGAGCCCCUGCACGCUCAGCUUCUCUCAUUUUCCUUAGUUAUCAGUCCUGUCCUGUCCCGCUCGGAUCUGCACUUAGGGCAACUGGCCUGGAUGGGCUUCACUAGGGGCCCUGUCUGUGCACUGAGCCAGUUUCCUCUGCUGGCUGCAAGCUGUGGGUUCUCUUUCUCCUCUGUGCCCCUCAUGCUGAUCUUCUAGAUGCCACUCCCAAAUCCCCUUCAUACCCACCAGGAUGUGUGCCCAGCCAGGCCUCCAGCACCCCCAGUACAGCUCAUGAUUGGAAACUCACCAUCAGCAGGCAGUGGCUCGGUUUAAGAGAUGGCCGCAGAGGGAGCCCAGUCUGGAUGUGGACUUGGAUGCCCUGUGGGUAUCAGUUCCGCUGACACUUUGGCCCGAAAUAGAUCCAGUGCUGAGCAAGCAAUGUACGCCGGAGCCUCAGUGAGCCCAUCUGCACAGUGGGGAGCAUGGAGGGAUGGGUUUGGCCUGUGCUUCUGCUUGUUCAGUCCUUCAGCUCAUGGAAGGGAUGCUAGUCCAUGAAGCUGACCUCACAGUACUGGUUAAUUAAACUUUAUUGCUCACUGUCCA
RNAcentral lists this small RNA (3217 nucleotides) under Pongo abelii (Sumatran orangutan). RNAcentral's name for it is "processed transcript". The stretch from base 1885 to 2021 matches the Rfam family "T-cell leukemia/lymphoma 6 conserved region 3". Lineage: Eukaryota; Metazoa; Chordata; Mammalia; Primates; Hominidae. The record is from RNAcentral.